Molecule: unclassified non-coding RNA, 342 nt
Filed under: soil metagenome
Description: partial contains 5.8S ribosomal RNA, internal transcribed spacer 2, and large subunit ribosomal RNA
Rfam family: 5.8S ribosomal RNA (bases 1-120)
Source: RNAcentral
GAUGAAGAACGUAGCGAAAUGCGAUAAGUAAUGUGAAUUGCAGAAUUCAGUGAAUCAUCGAAUCUUUGAACGCACAUUGCGCCCGCCAGCAGUCUGGCGGGCAUGCCUGUUCGAGCGUCAUUUCAACCCUCGAGCCCCCCCGGGGGCCUCGGUGUUGGGGGACGGCACACCAGCCGCCCCCGAAAUGCAGUGGCGACCUCGCCGCAGCCUCCCCUGCGUAGUAGCACACACCUCGCACCGGAGCGCGGAGACGGUCACGCCGUAAAACGCCCAACUUCUUAGAGUUGACCUCGGAUCAGGUAGGAAUACCCGCUGAACUUAAGCAUAUCAAUAAGCGGAGGA